Molecule: ribosomal RNA, 323 nt
Filed under: uncultured Leptolinea sp.
Lineage: Bacteria; Bacillati; Chloroflexota; Anaerolineae; Anaerolineales; Anaerolineaceae
Description: bacterial SSU rRNA
Rfam family: Bacterial small subunit ribosomal RNA
Source: RNAcentral
CAUGGCUGUCGUCAGCUCGUGUCGUGAGAUGUUCGGUUAAGUCCGCUAACGAGCGCAACCUCGCUGUGUGUUAUAUGUGUCACACGGGACUGCCGGUCUUAAGCCGGAGGAAGGUGGGGAUGAUGUCAAGUCAGCAUGGCCUUUAUAUCCUGGGCUACACACACGCUACAAUGGCCAACACAAUAGGUUGCUAAGCCGCGAGGUGGCGCCAAUCCAUAAAGUUGGUCUCAGUUCAGAUUGUAGGCUGCAACCCGCCUGCAUGAAGAUGGAGUUGCUAGUAACCGCAGGUCAGCUAUACUGCGGUGAAUACGUUCCCGGGGCUU